Molecule: ribosomal RNA, 430 nt
Filed under: uncultured bacterium
Lineage: Bacteria
Also listed under: 1 other name
Description: bacterial SSU rRNA
Rfam family: Bacterial small subunit ribosomal RNA
Source: RNAcentral
CUAAGAAUAGUCCGCAAUGGGGGAAACCCUGACGGUGCGACGCCGCGUGAACGAUGAAGGCCUGACGGUUGUAAAGUUCUUUUCUCGAUGAAGAAUAAGGAUGGGAGUGGAACGCCCGUUCGAUGACGUUAAUCGAGGAAUAAGCCCCGGCUAAUUACGUGCCAGCAGCCGCGGUAAUACGUAUGGGGCGAGCGUUGUUCGGAAUUAUUGGGCGUAAAGGGCGCGUAGGCGGUUUCGCAAGCCCGGUGUGAAAGGCUUCGGCUCAACCGAAGUUGUGCGCUGGGAACUGUGCGACUAGAGUUCUGGAGGGGAAGCUGGAAUUCCUGGUGUAGGGGUGAAAUCUGUAGAUAUCAGGAAGAACACCGGUGGCGAAGGCGAGCUUCUGGCCAGAAACUGACGCUGAGGCGCGAAAGCGUGGGGAGCGAACAGG